RNAcentral lists this ribosomal RNA (449 nucleotides) under uncultured Streptococcus sp. Its description in RNAcentral is "bacterial SSU rRNA". It matches the Rfam family "Bacterial small subunit ribosomal RNA", at positions 930 to 1382 of the family's 1533-position model. Lineage: Bacteria; Bacillati; Bacillota; Bacilli; Lactobacillales; Streptococcaceae. The record is from RNAcentral.
CGGUGGAGCAUGUGGUUAAUUCGAAGCAACGCGAAGAACCUUACCAGGUCUUGACAUCCCGAUGCUAUUCCUAGAGAUAGGAAGUUCUUCGGAACAUCGGUGACAGGUGGUGCAUGGUUGUCGUCAGCUCGUGUCGUGAGAUGUUGGGUUAAGUCCCGCAACGAGCGCAACCCCUAUUGUUAGUUGCCAUCAUUAAGUUGGGCACUCUAGCGAGACUGCCGGUAAUAAACCGGAGGAAGGUGGGGAUGACGUCAAAUCAUCAUGCCCCUUAUGACCUGGGCUACACACGUGCUACAAUGGUUGGUACAACGAGUCGCGAGUCGGUGACGGCAAGCAAAUCUCUUAAAGCCAAUCUCAGUUCGGAUUGUAGGCUGCAACUCGCCUACAUGAAGUCGGAAUCGCUAGUAAUCGCGGAUCAGCACGCCGCGGUGAAUACGUUCCCGGGCCUU